RNAcentral lists this ribosomal RNA (259 nucleotides) under uncultured bacterium. RNAcentral's name for it is "partial 16S ribosomal RNA". It matches the Rfam family "Bacterial small subunit ribosomal RNA", at positions 524 to 777 of the family's 1533-position model. The record is from RNAcentral.
UACAGAGGUCCCAAGCGUUGUUCGGAUUCACUGGGCGUAAAGGGUGCGUAGGCGGUCGGGUAAGUCUGAUGUGAAAUCUCACAGCUUAACUGUGAAACUGCAUUGGAUACUAUCCGGCUCGAGGAAUGGAGGGGAGACUGGAAUACUUGGUGUAGCAGUGAAAUGCGUAGAUAAUCAAGUGGAACACCAGUGGCGAAGGCGAGAUCUCUGGAACAUUUCCUGACGCUGAGGCACGAAAGCCAGGGGGAGCGAAACGGGA